AUGAUUCAAGCAUAAAGCAACCAACUCACCGUCCUUUCAACAUAUUAUGGUUGACCAAAGGUAGGAGAAAUCUAAGGGAUCUUUGAUGCCAAAUUUAGUAAAUUCCUCCUCCAACCUCAAGUAUAAAUAUCCACCUCCAUCCCACAUUUCAAUCAUCCCUCAUUCAUCCUUUAUGUAACAUUACUCUUCCAUUCUCUCAUUCCCUCUCUUCAUUCCCA
RNAcentral lists this long non-coding RNA (218 nucleotides) under Gossypium raimondii (Peruvian cotton). RNAcentral's name for it is "long non-coding RNA (GRAI_LNC002182)". The record is from RNAcentral. Lineage: Eukaryota; Viridiplantae; Streptophyta; Magnoliopsida; Malvales; Malvaceae.